This 265-nucleotide long non-coding RNA is filed under the name Ananas comosus (pineapple). RNAcentral describes it as "long non-coding RNA (ACOM_LNC039803)". The record is from RNAcentral. Lineage: Eukaryota; Viridiplantae; Streptophyta; Magnoliopsida; Poales; Bromeliaceae.
UGCAUGACUGUUAGUGUCGAGAUGCCUCAGGGAGAGGGGGCGAUAAGAUGAGAGAGAGUAAUGAAGUAAAAAAGAAGUCAAGAUGGAGAAUGUUAAAGAUAUGCCUUCUUUUUUAUUGGUUUGGUUCAUACAUCGGGUUUAUGAAAAAAAAAUAAAUAAAUAGGAUCUCAUAAGGAUUUAUUUUUGGUAGAUCCUACUUUAAAUUGGAAUCGUAGGUGGACUAGGAUUGGUUUCCAUAUAACACUCUAUAUUCAAUAAUCAUAUU